CGAGUCUGAAUAGGGCGACUAGUUGCAUGCCGUAGACCCGAAACCGGGUGACCUAUCCAUGGCCAGGUUGAAGCGAGGGUAAAACCUCGUGGAGGACCGAACCACGUUGCUGUUGAAAAAGCAUGGGAUGAGCUGUGGAUAGCGGAGAAAUUCCAAUCGAACCCGGAGAUAGCUGGUUCUCUCCGAAAUAGCUUUAGGGCUAGCGUCGAGUAUGAGUAGUGGAGGUAGAGCACUGAAUGGGCUAGGGGGCAUAGCGCUUACCGAACCUUAUCAAACUCCGAAUGCCACAUACUUUGAGCUCGGCAGUCAGACUACGAAUGAUAAGAUCCGUGGUCAAAAGGGAAACAGCCCAGAUCGUCAGCUAAGGUCCCAAAGUGUAAGUUAAGUGGGAAAGGAUGUGAGAUUUCUAAGACAACUAGGAUGUUGGCUUAGAAGCAGCCAUUCAUUAAAAGAGUGCGUAAUAGCUCACUAGUCGAGAGAUCUUGCGCCGAAAAUGUAACGGGGCUAAACUUACCACCGAAGCUACGGGCUUGAACAUAGUUCAAGCGGUAGGAGAGCGUCGUAACCGGGCUGAAGUCGUACCGUAAGGAGCGGUGGACUGGUUACGAGUGAGAAUGUUGGCAUCAGUAGCGAGAUGUGGGUGAGAAUCCCACAGGCCGAAAACCUAAGGUUUCCUCAGGAAGGUUCGUCCGCUGAGGGUUAGUCGGGACCUAAGCCGAGGCCGAAAGGCGUAGGUGAUGGACAACUGGUUGAUAUUCCAGUACCACUACCAUCGUUAUUAUCGAUGGCGUGACGCAGGAGGAUAGUGUGUGCUAGCUAUUGGAUGCUAGUCUAAGCGUUUAGGCAGUGAGAGUAGGCAAAUCCGCUCUCAUAAUGCUGAGGCGUGAUGGGGAAGGUUCCACGGAACCGAAGUACAUGAUUCCACGCUGCCAAGAAAAGCGUCUAGAGAGAGAAGUAGUGCCCGUACCGCAAACCGACACAGGUAGGUGAGGAGAGAAUCCUAAGGCCGGCGGAAGAAUUACAGUUAAGGAACUCGGCAAAUUGACCCCGUAAGUUCGCGAGAAGGGGUGCCUACGAGAGUAGGCCGCAGAGAAUAGGCCCAAGCAACUGUUUAGCAAAAACACAGGUCUCUGCUAAAGCGUAAGCUGAUGUAUAGGGGCUGACGCCUGCCCGGUGCUGGAAGGUUAAGGGGAACACUUAGCGCAAGCGAAGGUGUGAACUUAAGCCCCAGUAAACGGCGGCCGUAACUAUAACGGUCCUAAGGUAGCGAAAUUCCUUGUCAGGUAAGUUCUGACCCGCACGAAUGGCGUAAUGACUUGGGCACUGUCUCAACUGUAAAUCCGGCGAAGUUGUAGUGCGAGUGAAGAUGCUCGCUACCCGCGAUUGGACGGAAAGACCCCGUAGAGCUUUACUGUAGCUUAGCAUUGAGUUUUGGUAUUGUCUGUACAGGAUAGGUGGGAGACUAGGAAACCAGGGCGUCAGCCUUGGUGGAGUCAACCUUGGGAUACCACCCUGACAGUACUGAAAUUCUAACUGGCGGCCAUGAAUCUGGUCACAGGACAUUGUUAGGUGGGCAGUUUGACUGGGGCGGUCGCCUCCUAAAAAGUAACGGAGGCGCCCAAAGGUUCCCUCAGAACGGUCGGAAAUCGUUCGAAGAGUGCAAAGGCAGAAGGGAGCCUGACUGCGACACCCACAAGUGGAGCAGGGACGAAAGUCGGGCUUAGUGAUCCGGUGGUACCUCGUGGGAGGGCCAUCGCUCAACGGAUAAAAGCUACCUCGGGGAUAACAGGCUGAUCUCCCCCAAGAGUCCACAUCGACGGGGAGGUUUGGCACCUCGAUGUCGGCUCGUCGCAUCCUGGGGCUGAAGUAGGUCCCAAGGGUUGGGCUGUUCGCCCAUUAAAGCGGCACGCGAGCUGGGUUCAGAACGUCGUGAGACAGUUCGGUCCCUAUCCGUCGCGGGCGUAGGAAAUUUGAGAGGAGCUGUCCUUAGUACGAGAGGACCGGGAUGGACUGACCUCUGGUGUACCAGUUGUUCCGCCAGGAGCACAGCUGGGUAGCUAAGUCGGGAAUGGAUAAACGCUGAAAGCAUCUAAGCGUGAAGCCAACCU
This 2108-nucleotide ribosomal RNA is filed under the name Clostridium perfringens. RNAcentral's name for it is "partial 23S ribosomal RNA". It matches the Rfam family "Bacterial large subunit ribosomal RNA", at positions 678 to 2799 of the family's 2925-position model. Lineage: Bacteria; Bacillati; Bacillota; Clostridia; Eubacteriales; Clostridiaceae. The record is from RNAcentral.